Non-coding RNA from Frankliniella occidentalis (western flower thrips), 708 nucleotides. Lineage: Eukaryota; Metazoa; Arthropoda; Insecta; Thysanoptera; Thripidae. The record is from the annotation of a RefSeq genome assembly.
UAAUUUUAAUUCUAGAUAAAAUUAUAAUAAUUUUUGAUAUGCAUGGAAAUUAUACCAGUAUAAAAUUUUUUUAAAUAGAAAUCUUUAAGCAAAAAUAAUUAAGAGAUAAAUAUAGUGCCAGCAAUCGCGGUCAUACUAUAUCUUUAAAUAAUUUAACGGAAAUGUAGUUAUAUGAAAGAUUGGAGAACAAAAGAUUAGAAAAUAGGUCAAAUUUUAUCUAAAUAAAAAUUUCGCAAAAUUUUAGAAUCUAUAAAAACUAUUAAAAGAAAAGGAUUUGAUACCCUAUUAUUUUAGAAACAAAAAUUAUCCAGAGUUAAUGUAAAAUUUUUAAAACUCAAAGAAUAUGGCAGUAUAAAUAAAAUUUAGGGGAACUUGAUUUUUUAAACUAUGAUAAUACACAAAAACUUUACUUUAGAUUUUAAAAAUAUUUAUAUCUCCGUUUUAAGAAACUAAUUGAAAUUAUUAUUCAAAAUCUUUUUGAAAAAGCAAUUCAGGUCAAGACAAAGUAUUUAAAGAAGGAUUGAGUCCCAUUAAAAAAAUUGAAUAAAAAUGAGUUUAAAACAAAUUUAAAAGAGAACUUAAAAGUAACUUUUUUAAAAAAGAAAAGGUGAACAAAAAUAUUUAUAUGUACAAAUUGCCCGUCACUCUCAAUUAAAAUUGAGAUAAGUCGAAACAUAGUAAAUGUAUUGGAAAAUGCAUUUAGAUAAA